UUAAAUACCACUCCUGUACGUGGUUUCACACUUUCUCAUUUUAGUGCUCUAUGGUUUAAAGUGUAUCGAUCACUUUAGUGUUCUAGGGCUUUAUUUUUAUCUUUUUAUUAUUAAUUUUACUAUUUGUUUUUGUUAAAUUAGUGACAAAGUUAAAACUAAAAGGUACUAAAGUGAAUAUUCGAUAAAUCUAAGUAGGGUAUUUGAAGUUUUUUGAAUAUAAUUUAACGAAAUAUUAAUAAAAAAGCUGACGAAAAGAUAAAAAUAAAACCACAGAAUACUAACUUGAUACACUUUAAAUCAUAAGGUAUUAAAAUGAGAAAGUGCGAAACCACAGAAAUGAUAUUUGAAGUUUAUCCUAAAUUAAAACUCAAUCUAAAUGAUAAAAAAGAACUUAUACAUUAAAAUCG
This 407-nucleotide long non-coding RNA is filed under the name Ananas comosus (pineapple). RNAcentral's name for it is "long non-coding RNA (ACOM_LNC033788)". The record is from RNAcentral. Lineage: Eukaryota; Viridiplantae; Streptophyta; Magnoliopsida; Poales; Bromeliaceae.